Anas platyrhynchos (mallard) is the source of this 4286-nucleotide long non-coding RNA. RefSeq lists it as uncharacterized. The record is from RefSeq and is a predicted model, not a curated record. NCBI's taxonomy places the organism in Eukaryota, Metazoa, Chordata, Aves, Anseriformes, Anatidae.
GAGCGCUGCCACGGAGUGAAGGGCACAGCUGUCCUCGCUGGAUCAUACCCACAGGGAGGGCGGGCGGCAAUUAAUAACGCUCAUGAGCAAGGAACGAAGCAGGGGCUGGGGAAGGAAUCAAUUAAAGCCUCCUCGAAGGCCAGGAAGGACAAUAGGAAGGACAGGAGCUACCGGAGAGCUACGGAGAAAGGCAGGCGAGCACGCUGCCCCUCCUGUCCCCUUGUCACCACGGGUCACAGGGGUCUCCCUGCCUGGUCAUCGCCCCGGCUGGGGUCUGCUGGCACGUCCCUGCUCCUCUUGUCCCUCCAAGGCACGAGGUGUCAUGCUUGGAAACCUCAUCCUCAGCAAAAGCUGGGGGGCUGCAAGAAAUUUUGGGGUUCCUGAAGGGGUUGGGCUUGGGAGAGAGGCAUAACAUCGCCAAAAUUUGUGUGUGUGCGCCCUCACCUUGCCCUAGCCCUCUAUUUGCAGUGGUCUUGAGACUCCCCAAAAAGAGAGGAGCCCCCCUCCGAGGGACACGGGUUCCCCUUCUCAGGCAGGCUCCUGCCUGUGAGCCAAGUGCCUGGCACUUGUGGGGCUGCUGGCCGUGGAUGUGGGAGCCCAAACAGCUUCUGAAAACGGGGCUGAGCACUGCGUGGUGUCUGGGGCUGCAGUGGGGAGAGGAAUGGCACAGUACCCAAAUCCCCUGGAGCUCCGGCCAUCCCCAUCUGCCAAGGGUUUAAAUCUCUUCUGCCUGCCUUGAGGUGUUUAUUCUGACUCUGUGAGCAGGCUCCUGGAUGGCUUCAGCUGUACCCGAGCAUCCCGACGAGUGGCACGAGGCUUACAGCCCCGGGGCAGCUCCUCCUGCCUCCCAGCUGCAGCAUCACCUUGUGGGGCAGAGCCUUGUAGCUGGCGACAAUUCCCCUACAAAAAGCUCACGAUGCAUCCAGGGCAUGCUGAGAAAUGAGUGUUGAAAUGUCACUGAGCUUUGGCAGUGAGGACGCACAGCACAAGCCCAGCAUCAAGUGCUCCAGCUUGUGGGAUUGCCACAGCCCCAGGAACGUCUGAGGGGAUGUGGGAAGGGGCUGGGAAUGUCCUGGGGACCCCGCUACCUACCUGCCGGGGGAGCCGACGGGAGCUUCGGGAUGCUGAGACCUGCUGUAGGAGUGCUCCUGGCAGCUCCUUCCCCCAGCUUCGCAGCCCGGAGGAGACACCGGAGGCUUUGGCUUGAAGUGCUUGGAGAUGAAAGCCCGCCCGCAGGCCUUCAUCCCAGCGGGCAGCGGGCAGCGGGGUGGGCACACAAAGAGGCAGCAGGCGCAGUGACCUUUGCGUCCUGCGCCGAAGGAAGCGGGAGGCAAAAUGCCAGCCCCGCCAGGCUGCUCUGCCUCCAAACCCGCUGCCUGCCCCUGCUGCUGCGCCCCCUCGGAGGUGCCGAGAGCCUGCGCUGGCCUUGAUCUGCGCCCGCAGCUUGUUUCGGGUGCUUUAUUUUGGGGUUUGUGGGAAGGAAGAAAGCGAUAAAUAAAUAAAUAACCUCCUGCUCCCACCCCCAGGUCGCGGCAGGCUCCUUGCAGGCUCCCAGCUCUGCCAGGUGCAGGAGUUUUCCUGUGAAUCCCCCCCAUCAGAUCCACCUCCACCCAGAGUCCUGCCGUGCAGGCGGGCAGGACACGGGAUUUCUCAUCCCGUAUUUCUGGGAACGGGGCACAGACUGUCUGGGCGGAGGGGCUGCCGCCUUGGGAACACGCCUUGCUUCCUCCAUGGGUGUUAGAAACCUUCUCUCUUUAACCUGAAUCUCGCAGCCAUUGCCACCUGCCUGGGUUUUUUCAAGACCUAACAUCUUGCAGACUGCAGAUAAAAUAUAUAUAUAUAUCUAAAGUCCCUCUCUGCAUGCUGGCCUGUAGGAAAUAGAGGGCACAGCCCUGCCUCUGCAGCAGCUCCCAGGUAGCUCCUGCCUGCACUGCAGCUCCCGUCGCAUCGCUGUUGCAAGGUGUUGCUCAUGAGUUUUAGGAUUUCGCCAGUGUAAUAACUAACAAACGCUUCCAUGCCAGCAGCAAUUAGUGCUCGCCCUCGCUGGGGAGGAGGCAGGUCGGUCUGGGUACCUGCUGGAGCACCUCUGCUUCAUCCCAGCGGCCAGACAGCGCGUGGGGGAUGCAGCAAGGGACCUGAACUGCUGCCUGGGAUGAUGCUGUGAGCAGGAAGGACGGCGCUGUGCAGGAGGGGCGCAGGGUUCAUAAAUCAGGCACUGCGGAUGGCGCCGGUGGCGUUUACGGCUCCCCCAGCGCUGCCGGGGAGCGAUGCAGAGCCCCUGUCCAGCUCGGCUCCUGGAGCAUUUCGGCACCUCCUGUCCCUUCUCCGCUACCAAUUCCCACCCCAAGCCCUCCUUUCUGAGCUGCACAGAGCCACCUUGUCCUGCUGCCCUCGGCAGGGGCCGUGCUCAGCCCCCUGCACCUCUCCUGGUGGGGCUGAUGGAGACGGCUCCCACGGGUACCCGGUUAUCUCCUGUACCUGGUUAUCUCCCACAGAAGCAGAAGCAGCUCUUGGACUUUCAGCCCGCAAGCACUUCACAAAUCCCUAUCUCCCCACGAGGGGACUCGCCGCCCAGCAGAUAUUUUCUCAGAUUUAAUAACUUCAACGAACACCGGGUAACCCCACCUGCGGUGGCUGUAUCUUUCCCAGAGCUUUGACAGCGUUGGAGCCAUUGCAAGCCAAUAUUUCUCUAACGUGCUGUGAUAUCGCUUACAUCCUGCUAAAAUCAGGACUUUCUUCCGAGCACGCAGACAGAGCUGGGUGAGGGAAGGGGCCAGCUCCUCGGGGAAUAUCUGGCACCACGGUUUGCAGCAGCAUGCAGGAAGGAGGGCAGGGGAGGAGCGGGAGGGCUGCCUUCUCCAAUCCCAGCUUUCAACCGGGGCCCCUGAAAGCAAGCAGGUGAUUUUUUAUUUAUUUCAUUUUAUUGUUUCUAAUCUUCCACUCAGUUGGCUUGUUGGACGAUGUUACCAGGAGAAAAGUGCAUCAUCAUCAGUGUAUCAGCUCCUACCUCCUCCCUGUGCUGCGGCGCCGUGCCCUGCUCAGGCUCACGUUGGCCAGGAAAAAUCAAAAUAUGGUUAAAUGUGGGGAAAUGGGAGACUCCUUAGACUAAGCACAAGCAGAGAGAGAAGGUUUGAGCCGAUUAAGCAGAAAUCAGGGGUUGAUGUGGUCUGGGAAGAGUGAAGGAAGGAGGAACUUUUGUAUCCUCCCAUGCUUUUUGCGCAGCCCAAGCCAAGCAUUGUGUUGGGGUUACUGGAGUUCUGUGCUUCACAGGGGCCUUUAAAAUGGAAAAAAAGAGCAGAUGUCAUUUUAAAGGAAGAAAAUGUUGCCCUAAAGCCAGGAAAUCCUGAAGUAUCAUAAGAGAAGGUCAAAUGGGAACACUUAUAGAAAUGUCAACAGAUGUCCUGCCACUUUCAGAGAGGUUUCCCCUCGUGUUUCGGACUAGAGCUAUUUGUCAGAUUUGACCUCAGUUUGCAGUUACCAAGGCCUCUCUCCUCUCCUUUCCCUUUUGGACAAAAUUCCCUGCAGACAGAGGUGUCACACAGCUCUGAGGAGCAGCCAGCCCAGCUGCAUGCCCCAGCUCCCCGUCCUCGCUUCUGUGUCAUCUGCUGGAGCUCCCUCCACUGGCACUGCAGGGAUGCUGAUGUCCAGGGCAGCACAAUUAACGUGGGCUGUGUUUUGAUCUCUUUUACACCCAGGAAGCAAGGUGUGAUGACUUUCUGGUGCUCUGAGCACCACCUGCCUUCAAGGAGAGGUGCUACUUGCUGUCCAUGAGCACAUGCAACCAGGUGUUGGUCCCACCAAGACAGCUGGAGGGGAAGAACAUGGUCUCAUCUUCCCAAGGCACCUGGCACUUCACUCUCAACCACAAGUCUGGGAGUUGCCAGGAGGAGGAGAAACACCACAAGUCCCCAGAGAGGUGGCUCCCUGCAAUGGAACCACUCAAUCAAAACGAGCACUGCAAAAUCCACAUUUUGGGAGCAUUUAGUCCCUCGGCGCUCGGAGCAUGCCAGUGGCAGAGCUUACAUCUGCUUCUGAAAGCCAGGGAUUAGCCUAAUUUAGCACAAGCUUGGAUAUCACCAGCAAAAUCUGAUGGUGAGGAUGUGCCAGGCUCAUUGAUCCCUUCAAGUGGCACUGCAAAAAGUUUGGCCGACUGCAGCGUGAACACGAUUCCCCAGUUAGCUUGUAUCAACAGGAGCCCAGCGCUGUGCUGACAGCAGCGUGAGCUUUCUUUCCUACUAAAAAUACACUUUGUGUUUACUGGAAAUAAAAAAAGGCAAUUCCGGGAA